AAGGCAGCUAUGCAAAUGGAAAAUUGCAGUGUUGUGUGAUAGCGACCUUGCUCUGGGUAAGUGCUGGGCUCUGGAUGAGCCAUGAAGCCAAAGGACUUCCAGAAGAAGAAACAAAUGAGGCCAAAGGCACAUGAGGUAAGCCUUGCCAAUAGCUAGAAAUAGGUAUAUUCUAGGAGGAGGACACACCAGUGAAAUGACCAAAAAAGGUAGAGAAGGCAGUGCAUGUUAGGGAAAUGAAGUAAAGCCCAGGAGGCUCGGCUGUGGAAAGAUGGGAGAGCCAUGAUGAGUAAGGAUAACACAGAGUUGCUUGGCUUGAGUGGCUGUCACGUAUGUGGUUGCUACACUUGGGCAUCAACAGAACUUCCUAGUCUGACAGGAAGACCACGUAGAGGCCAUUGCCUGGAUCCCAAUGAAGCAGAAUAACACCAUUGGUCAGAACUAGAAUUCUGGUGGCCUGGCUAGAUAUUUCUGUAGCUUACUGUAUGCCUCCACCAAAUUCAUGUUGAAUUGAAUCCCCAUUGGGAUAAUUACCAGACAGGCCAUGUGGGAUUAUGAAAGAUGGGUAGGUCCUCCCACUUAAUGGACAGUGAGUUGUCUCAGAUGCUCUGGGGGUGAGGAGGAGAAGUGGGAGAGGAGGAGAGAGUGUGUGUGAACUAGCAUGUGUUACAUUAUUAAAUGCACAUCCUAACCUGGAGGAAACUGAUUGUAUCCACAUCAUGGUGUGGAGGCACGGAGGAGAACAGGGCUUUAAUAACGUAUCUAUGUUUGUCCAGCUAGGAAGAGACUGGACUUGGAUCUCAGAUCCACCUGAGUUGAGGUGAGAGAUUCUAGCUACAGUGAUGGCGCCCUUCCCCCUUCAGCUCACCCUUCUCUUCUCCAAGUCCCAAGACAAAUUUCAGGGUUAUGGAAACAGUUCCGCAAGAUGAAAGACUUUUCCUAUCUAUAGGCAAAGCUAGCGUGGACGCCUUCCAUCCUGAUUUUCUGGCAGUUUCAACAUGACUGCCACCUCAUAAUCCAAGACAGCAGGAAGGAAGAUAAGGCACCCGAAGAGCCAUGGUCUCUGUCAUCGGAAUCCCUCUAAGAACCGAGGUGAGGUAAAUUCCUCUCAGAGCUGGACAUAUAAUUAAUCAUCCCAGUUAGGAUGCCUGGUGAGACCAAAAGUACCAAAACGGCUGAGCAGGUAUGAGCUGACUUGGAGUGGUUCCAGGACCUCCCUGUGAAUGGUGGAGUAUAAAGUCACCUCAAUAUAGAGGUCUCCUCUGUGAGUGGGUCGGUGAAGGUUGUUCCUACUGUAAACCCAGGGAAGAUGGCUUAGCCUUCCUCCUGGGGUACAUGUAUGCUCACCCUACACCCAACCCCAGCACAGAGCUGAAUGCUCUUUUUCAGAAGUACCAGUAUCUUCGCCUUAGGCACAUGUCUUCAAAGGCCAGCGGCACUGUCUACUGACUGCUUUGUACAUGGUAACUGUUUAACUUAUCCCCGAGUCUUUCUGCAGCCUUCGGAGUCCUGCAAGGAAGGAAGUAUGACCAUGUGCAACUGUGGUGAGCCCAUGGAGGCUUAGGGAGAUCAGGAGAUCUGCCCAAAGUCACUCCACAAAUAUCAGGAUCUGGUGCCCGCUGAGCUCUGCUUUGGUCACAGUUCUCUCAGACUCUGUCCCCAGUUUGGGGGGACACUCACUGCUAGCCUGUCUUCCCCAGGGUAUGAGCUAGGCUGCCUCAUCACUUGGGAAACCAUCUUGCACUUUCCAGGGGAUGCUCCUCUGAGUUAAAUCAAAUCUCCUCGGGGCUCCACACCCUCCCCUCUCCCCUGUACCAUUCUUCACGAGCCAUCAGGGUUUCUAUUCCUGUGCAGCCUCCUAGAUUUAUCCUUAGGUUCAUCGUGGACCUCAACCAACUGGACCAUCUCUGUGGCCUUCCCCAGGGGAGAAAUCAAGCAUGAGACAUGAACAAGGACCAAGAAUACAGGAGCAGAGAGGAAACUAAUUGAGGGUUGAUUCUGAUGAAUAAAUGCCUGGUCGCCGCCUUGAGAAAUGGACCACGCCGGCAGAUGGCUGGGGCUUGAGAAACGGUCACGGCCUUCCGAGGGGCCCAUCAAUAAUAGAUCGGCUCCAGCCCUGGGAGAGGGAAGCGUUUCUGCGGCAGGACGAUUUGUGUCAUUUUCUUCUAUGUGGUGACGGCGAUACAUAAUAUACCUCCUUCCUCAUGACAACGUCGUCUUCAUAAGACGGGUGAUGUGGGAUUCCUCCACCUCGAGGCCUGUGAUGUCAUGUUGGUAGCUUGCCAUUGGCCAUGGCAGCAACAUUUACACCAAAGGUAUUGGCAAAUGCUGCUAGGCAGCACUCCCCUCCCCCAAGCUGGUUGCUUAACUUUCAAGAGCACACA
Molecule: small RNA, 2381 nt
Filed under: Rattus norvegicus (Norway rat)
Lineage: Eukaryota; Metazoa; Chordata; Mammalia; Rodentia; Muridae
Description: uncharacterized LOC108349630
Source: RNAcentral